GCUGUAAGGUGAGCUCUGGCACCAGAUAUGGCUUCUCGAUCCACGCUGACUGGCAAACAUAUUUGUGCUCCUUCCAAGCCCUUUGACAUAACUGCGUGUUGAUUCAGCCCGGUUGCACUCUGUCAGCUGUUGUUGGACGCCACCCUCGCCUGCUUUGAAACUCUCAGAAAAUCAAACAAGGAAGCAGCUUCCAGGCCCCAGAAGGAAGGAGGGUAAGGAGACGGGGGCUCUUAGUGUUCGUCACAUCUGUCUUUCCCUGCAUGGCACCAAGCUGAUUGAUGUACCCACCAUACCCUACAACCGAACCAAGAGCCGCGAACCUGGAAUUAGACAGGCUUGUCUGUCGGGCUCAUCCUGUCCCGCUUCAUGGAAAGCCUUGGGUGGGCCUCCUUCGUCUUCUCCAGGCCAGCAGCCCUCCCUCCCUGCCUGCCCUGGCAACGCAUUCUCGUGAGGCUCCAGAGUAUUAGACUGGGAUUCUCCUCAUGCGCUCUGCUUAUCCAUUGUCCAAUGUGAGCAGGGCGUAGGAGCCCUGGUUCUGGCUUACAUCACCCUCAGUUCUAUUUCGGGUUAGACCACAGCGCGCAUCUGUGAACCUCAAGUCCUUGGGCAGAGCAGCAAUGACCAAGCCCUGACGCAUAUUUUCACAAACACCUACUACUUUUCACUUUCAAGUCAAGAGACAGACGCUUGACUGCAUCGUCACCGCCACAUGAGAGCUUUGGACUUGAUUCUGAUCCGACACCCGUCAUCAACUCUCCUAAUUAAAUUCCUCUCUCACAGGAUCACAACCCUGUUUCAUGUGGGUGACUAGGGACUGAGAUAGCCACUCGUACAGCUAGAUUUCUGCUCAGAAGGGGAACUGAUAUCAUUUGACAUCCCCGCACCACCACCCGCAAGCCCUAAAUUGAAAACAAACUACAAAUUGCAUUAAUUAUAGAGCAGAGGCUAUGUCUUUAUGAUGCUGGAACCAAUGCUCCCCCAAAUUAGUUGCUUAGUUUAUUAUAUAUAUAUAUAUUUUUUUUGUAAAAGAUUAUUUGUUUGGGGUUCCUGUGUCAGGACAAAUGACAGAAAUUUGUGUUAGUUUGAACUGUAAAAGAGACACGAUGAGACCACAUGAGGUGCUUAGGAUGCAAAACUAAGGCGCGAUGCUAUCAAACUCUGCCCUCACACAGCUGCCAAAACUAGUGCUUCCUUAUUUUUUCCACCUUUGCCUCAAACAGAGGGUGGCUUGGGGUCAGUUGGGGACAGAGUUAUCCUCAUAUGACUCUGGAGUGUCUCAUAGGCCAAGUCUUGGGGAUUCUAACCCAGUACAGUUGGGUGGGGUUCUGGCGUUGUUUCUCAUCAUCUUCAUCACUUAAAAUGUACAGUUAGGUUUGGGAGCCAUUGGCACAGAGUUUAGAAUACCACAGUCGGAAGGUGAUCGUUCUAGUUUAAUUUCUAACAUUGUGAUUAAAAAAGAAAACUGACCAGAACAAACUUGGGGAAGGAAAGGGGUUCAUUUGACUCAUAUGUGACAGUCCAUCACAAGGCAAGAGUUCGAGGCAGGAACUCAAACAGACGUGAAGAAAUGCUGCGUACUGGCUUGCUCAGCUAUUUUUCUUAUAGAACCCAGUUGACAAAAGAUUAGCCAACACCGUGAAUUCUCCCUGGAAUUAGGUAUUACCGGAUCUAAUUCUAUAUAUAGGAUUGUAUUUACCUGUAAGUAAAAAUAAAAUCCCUGGAUAUUGGCUUACCAAA
Long non-coding RNA from Mesocricetus auratus (golden hamster), 1737 nucleotides. RefSeq lists it as uncharacterized. NCBI's taxonomy places the organism in Eukaryota, Metazoa, Chordata, Mammalia, Rodentia, Cricetidae. The transcript has 2 exons. The record is from RefSeq and is a predicted model, not a curated record.